GGUUAAGCGACUAAGCGUACACGGUGGAUGCCCUGGCAGUCAGAGGCGAUGAAGGACGUGCUAAUCUGCGAAAAGCGUCGGUAAGGUGAUAUGAACCGUUAUAACCGGCGAUGUCCGAAUGGGGAAACCCAGUGCAAUUCGUUGCACUAUCGUUAACUGAAUACAUAGGUUAACGAGGCGAACCGGGGGAACUGAAACAUCUAAGUACCCCGAGGAAAAGAAAUCAACCGAGAUUCCCCCAGUAGCGGCGAGCGAACGGGGAGCAGCCCAGAGUCUGAAUCAGCUUGUGUGUUAGUGGAACGGUCUGGAAAGUCCGACGGUACAGGGUGAUAGUCCCGUACACCAAAAUGCACAGGUUGUGAACUCGAAGAGUAGGGCGGGACACGUGGUAUCCUGUCUGAAUAUGGGGGACCAUCCUCCAAGGCUAAAUACUCCUGACUGACCGAUAGUGAACCAGUACCGUGAGGGAAAGGCGAAAAGAACCCCGGCGAGGGGAGUGAAAAAGAACCUGAAACCGUGUACGUACAAGCAGUGGGAGCACCUUCGGGUGUGACUGCGUACCUUUUGUAUAAUGGGUCAGCGACUUAUAUUCUGUAGCAAGGUUAACCGUAUAGGGGAGCCGCAGGGAAACCGAGUCUUAACUGGGCGUUAAGUUGCAGGGUAUAGACCCGAAACCCGGUGAUCUAGCCAUGGGCAGGUUGAAGGUUGGGUAACACUAACUGGAGGACCGAACCGACUAAUGUUGAAAAAUUAGCGGAUGACUUGUGGCUGGGGGUGAAAGGCCAAUCAAACCGGGAGAUAGCUGGUUCUCCCCGAAAGCUAUUUAGGUAGCGCCUCGUGAACUCAUCUUCGGGGGUAGAGCACUGUUUCGGCUAGGGGUCAUCCCGACUUACCAACCCGAUGCAAACUACGAAUACCGAAGAAUGUUAUCACGGGAGACACACGGCGGGUGCUAACGUCCGUCGUGAAGAGGGAAACAACCCAGACCGCCAGCUAAGGUCCCAAAGUCAUGGUUAAGUGGGAAACGAUGUGGGAAGGCACAGACAGCCAGGAUGUUGGCUUAGAAGCAGCCAUCAUUUAAAGAAAGCGUAAUAGCUCACUGGUCGAGUCGGCCUGCGCGGAAGAUGUAACGGGGCUAAACCAUGCACCGAAGCUGCGGCAGCGACACUAUGUGUUGUUGGGUAGGGGAGCGUUCUGUAAGCCUGCGAAGGUGACCUGUGAGGGUUGCUGGAGGUAUCAGAAGUGCGAAUGCUGACAUAAGUAACGAUAAAGCGGGUGAAAAGCCCGCUCGCCGGAAGACCAAGGGUUCCUGUCCAACGUUAAUCGGGGCAGGGUGAGUCGACCCCUAAGGCGAGGCCGAAAGGCGUAGUCGAUGGGAAACAGGUUAAUAUUCCUGUACUUGGUGUUACUGCGAAGGGGGGACGGAGAAGGCUAUGUUAGCCGGGCGACGGUUGUCCCGGUUUAAGCAUGUAGGCUGAUUGUCCAGGCAAAUCCGGAUAAUCAAGGCUGAGGUGUGAUGACGAGGCACUACGGUGCUGAAGUAACAAAUGCCCUGCUUCCAGGAAAAGCCUCUAAGCAUCAGGUAACAUCAAAUCGUACCCCAAACCGACACAGGUGGUCAGGUAGAGAAUACCAAGGCGCUUGAGAGAACUCGGGUGAAGGAACUAGGCAAAAUGGUGCCGUAACUUCGGGAGAAGGCACGCUGGUGUGUAGGUGAAGCCCCUGCGGGUGGAGCUGAGACCAGUCGAAGAUACCAGCUGGCUGCAACUGUUUAUUAAAAACACAGCACUGUGCAAACACGAAAGUGGACGUAUACGGUGUGACGCCUGCCCGGUGCCGGAAGGUUAAUUGAUGGGGUUAUCCGUAAGGAGAAGCUCUUGAUCGAAGCCCCGGUAAACGGCGGCCGUAACUAUAACGGUCCUAAGGUAGCGAAAUUCCUUGUCGGGUAAGUUCCGACCUGCACGAAUGGCGUAAUGAUGGCCAGGCUGUCUCCACCCGAGACUCAGUGAAAUUGAACUCGCUGUGAAGAUGCAGUGUACCCGCGGCAAGACGGAAAGACCCCGUGAACCUUUACUAUAGCUUGACACUGAACAUUGAGCCUUGAUGUGUAGGAUAGGUGGGAGGCUUUGAAGCGUGGACGCCAGUCUGCGUGGAGCCAACCUUGAAAUACCACCCUUUAAUGUUUGAUGUUCUAACGUUGGCCCCUGACCGGGGUUGCGGACAGUGUCUGGUGGGUAGUUUGACUGGGGCGGUCUCCUCCCAAAGCGUAACGGAGGAGCACGAAGGUUAGCUAAUCCUGGUCGGACAUCAGGAGGUUAGUGCAAUGGCAUAAGCUAGCUUGACUGCGAGCGUGACGGCGCGAGCAGGUGCGAAAGCAGGUCAUAGUGAUCCGGUGGUUCUGAAUGGAAGGGCCAUCGCUCAACGGAUAAAAGGUACUCCGGGGAUAACAGGCUGAUACCGCCCAAGAGUUCAUAUCGACGGCGGUGUUUGGCACCUCGAUGUCGGCUCAUCACAUCCUGGGGCUGAAGUAGGUCCCAAGGGUAUGGCUGUUCGCCAUUUAAAGUGGUACGCGAGCUGGGUUUAGAACGUCGUGAGACAGUUCGGUCCCUAUCUGCCGUGGGCGCUGGAGAAUUGAGGGGGCUGCUCCUAGUACGAGAGGACCGGAGUGGACGCAUCACUGGUGUUCGGGUUGUCAUGCCAAUGGCACUGCCCGGUAGCUAAAUGCGGAAGAGAUAAGUGCUGAAAGCAUCUAAGCACGAAACUUGCCCCGAGAUGAGUUCUCCCUGAGACUUUAAGUCUCCUGAAGGAACGUUGAAGACGACGACGUUGAUAGGCCGGGUGUGUAAGCGCAGCGAUGCGUUGAGCUAACCGGUACUAAUGAACCGUGAGGCUUAACCUU
Molecule: ribosomal RNA, 2899 nt
Filed under: Klebsiella pneumoniae
Lineage: Bacteria; Pseudomonadati; Pseudomonadota; Gammaproteobacteria; Enterobacterales; Enterobacteriaceae
Description: 23S ribosomal RNA
Rfam family: Bacterial large subunit ribosomal RNA
Source: RNAcentral